UACGUAGGGGGCAAGCGUUGUCCGGAAUCAUUGGGCGUGAAGCGCGUGUAGGCGGCCCGAUAAGUCCGCUGUGAAAGCCCAGGGCUCAACCCUGGGAUGCCGGUGGAUACUGUCGGGCUAGAGUGCGGAAGAGGCGAGUGGAAUUCCUGGUGUAGCGGUGAAAUGCGCAGAUAUCAGGAGGAACACCAAUUGCGAAGGCAGCUCGCUGGGACGUGACUGACGCUGAGACGCGAAAGCGUGGGGAGCAAACAGG
This 253-nucleotide ribosomal RNA is filed under the name uncultured bacterium. Its description in RNAcentral is "partial 16S ribosomal RNA". It matches the Rfam family "Bacterial small subunit ribosomal RNA", at positions 524 to 776 of the family's 1533-position model. The record is from RNAcentral.